Molecule: ribosomal RNA, 120 nt
Filed under: Fusobacterium necrophorum subsp. funduliforme B35
Lineage: Bacteria; Fusobacteriati; Fusobacteriota; Fusobacteriia; Fusobacteriales; Fusobacteriaceae
Description: partial 16S ribosomal RNA
Rfam family: Bacterial small subunit ribosomal RNA
Source: RNAcentral
UUGCGUCCCAUUAGCUAGUUGGUGAGGUAACGGCCCACCAAGGCAAUGAUGGGUAGCCGGCCUGAGAGGGUGAACGGCCACAAGGGGGACUGAGACACGGCCCUUACUCCUACGGGAGGC